AACGCAACUUGCGCCCUCUGGUAUUCCGGAGGGCAUGCCUGUUUGAGUGUCAUGUAGACUCAAUCCCUUGGGUUUCCGAGGAGAUUGGAUUUGGGUGUCUGCCUAAUUGCUGGCUCGCCUUAAAGGACUUAGUGGGGUUAUAGCACUGUAGUCGGCGUAAUAAGUUUCGUUGGUGAAUGUGUUGAGCCUGCUCACAACUGCCCUUGGGCACCUUUUGACUCUGACCUCAAAUCAGGUAGGACUACCCGCUGAACUUAA
This 258-nucleotide unclassified non-coding RNA is filed under the name uncultured Tremellales. RNAcentral's name for it is "sequence contains ITS2". The stretch from base 1 to 52 matches the Rfam family "5.8S ribosomal RNA", at positions 103 to 154 of the family's 154-position model. Lineage: Eukaryota; Fungi; Basidiomycota; Tremellomycetes; Tremellales. The record is from RNAcentral.